CCUACGGGUGGCUGCAGUGGGGAAUAUUGCGCAAUGGGCGAAAGCCUGACGCAGCGACGCCGCGUGAGGGAUGACGGUCUUCGGAUCGUUAACCUCUGUCAGCAGGGAAGAACGGUCACUGUGCUAAUCAGCAGUGAAUUGACGGUACCUGCAAAGGAAGCACCGGCUAAAUCCGUGCCAGCAGCCGCGGUAAUACGGAGGGUGCGAGAGUUAAUCGGAAUUACUGGGCGUAAAGCGCUCGUAGGCGGUAUGUCAAGUCAAGGGUGAAAUCCCCGCGCUCAACGUGGGAACUGCCUUUGAUACUGGCAAACUGGAGUGUGUGAGAGGAUAGUGGAAUUCCAGGUGUAGGAGUGAAAUGCGUAGAUAUCUGGAAGAACAUCAGUGGCGAAGGCGACUAACUGGCACAUAACUGACGCUGAGGAGCGAAAGCGUGGGUAGCAAACAGGAUUAGAUACCCCUGUAGUC
This 465-nucleotide ribosomal RNA is filed under the name uncultured bacterium. Its description in RNAcentral is "partial 16S ribosomal RNA". It matches the Rfam family "Bacterial small subunit ribosomal RNA", at positions 338 to 795 of the family's 1533-position model. The record is from RNAcentral.